CCUGACCCCAUCUCCUAGUUCAACAACUACGACUAACCCUGACCCCAUCUCCUAGGUCAGUAACUACUACUAACCCUGACCCUGAUCCCAUCUCCUAGGUCAAUAACUACUACUGACCCUGACCCCAUCUCCUAGGUCAAUAACUACUACUAACCCUGACCCUGAUCCCAUCUCCUAGGUCAAUAACUACUACUAACCCUGACCCUGAUCCCAUCUCCUAGGUCAAUAACUACUACUGACCCUCACCCUAACCCCAUCUCCUAGGUCAAUAACUACUACUGACCCUGACCCCAUCUCCUAGGUCAUUAACUACUACUGACCCUGACCCCAUCUCCUAGGUCAAUAACUACUACUGACCAUGACCCCAUCUCCUAGGUCAUUAACUACUACUGACCCUGACCCCAUCUCCUAGGUCAAUAACUACUACUGACCCUGACCCCAUCUCCUAG
Molecule: long non-coding RNA, 449 nt
Organism: Oncorhynchus tshawytscha (Chinook salmon)
Lineage: Eukaryota; Metazoa; Chordata; Actinopteri; Salmoniformes; Salmonidae
Source: Ensembl